CCUACGGGUGGCAGCAGUGGGGAAUAUUGGACAAUGGGGGGAACCCUGAUCCAGCGACGCCGCGUGAGUGAAGAAGUAUUUCGGUAUGUAAAGCUCUAUCAGCAGGGAAGAAAGAAAUGACGGUACCUGACUAAGAAGCCCCGGCUAACUACGUGCCAGCAGCCGCGGUAAUACGUAGGGGGCAAGCGUUAUCCGGAUUUACUGGGUGUAAAGGGAGCGUAGACGGCGAUGCAAGUCUGAAGUGAAAGGCGGGGGCCCAACCCCCGGACUGCUUUGGAAACUGUAUGGCUGGAGUGCAGGGGAGGUAAGUGGAAUUCCUAGUGUAGCGGUGAAAUGCGUAGAUAUUAGGAGGAACACCAGUUGCGAAGGCGGCUUACUGGACUGUAACUGACGUUGAGGCUCGAAAGCGUGGGGAACAAACAGGAUUAGAUACCCUGGUAGUC
RNAcentral lists this ribosomal RNA (443 nucleotides) under uncultured bacterium. RNAcentral describes it as "partial 16S ribosomal RNA". It matches the Rfam family "Bacterial small subunit ribosomal RNA", at positions 338 to 795 of the family's 1533-position model. The record is from RNAcentral.